Molecule: small RNA, 180 nt
Filed under: Streptomyces sp.
Lineage: Bacteria; Bacillati; Actinomycetota; Actinomycetes; Kitasatosporales; Streptomycetaceae
Description: c-di-AMP sequence
Rfam family: c-di-AMP riboswitch aptamer (ydaO/yuaA leader)
About the family: This family represents a conserved RNA structure found upstream of the ydaO and yuaA genes in Bacillus subtilis and related genes in other bacteria.
Source: RNAcentral
AUCCGCACAUCGACCCUUCCACGGCAGGAGCGGGGGACCCAGGUAAGCCGCCGGAACCGGGAGCAGCGCACCGCGCACGCCACCGGCCCCGGCUAGGGGUGAAGCCGCGCCACACGGCGCGGCCGGGCAGCUCCAGCCCGAACCCGACAGCUCACCUCGCAGGCGCCGGAGAGGAACCUU